RNAcentral lists this ribosomal RNA (651 nucleotides) under Triticum aestivum (bread wheat). RNAcentral's name for it is "partial small subunit ribosomal RNA". The record is from RNAcentral. Lineage: Eukaryota; Viridiplantae; Streptophyta; Magnoliopsida; Poales; Poaceae.
AUGCAGGUCAACAAAGCCCCCGGCCCGGAUAACAUUCCUGCUGAAUUUUAUCAGUGCUGUUGGGAUAUAGUUAAGGUUGAUAUAAUGCGUAUCUUUGAUAGUUUCCAUAAAGGUACCUUGGAUGUGCAGCGCCUUAACUAUGGGAUUAUUACUCUGCUGCCCAAGAUAUCUGGAGCUGACCGUAUCCAACAAUUUUGUCCCAUCUGUUUGCUUCGUUGUCCAUACAAACUCAUCACAAAAGUUAUGGACAGAAGGGUUGCUAGAUAUGCCAAUGUUCUUAUUAGUCCUACUCAAAAUGCUUUUGUGAAGGGCAGGAGCAUCAUGGAUGGGGUGCUGGCCCUUCAUGAACUUCUCAACUAUACUCAUGUUAAGAAAAGGGUCGGGGUAGUUCUCAAACUUGAUUUUGAGAAAGUAUACGAUAAGGUUAACUGGUAUUUCCUGUUGGAAUGCCAUAAGCUUCGGGGUUUUGACCAGAAAUGGUGCGGUUGGGUCGAGCAAAUCCUCCGCAAUGGCACGGUUAGCAUUAAACUCAAUAAUUGUGUGGGGCCGUACUUCCAAAGUGCUAUGGGGGUACGGCAGGGUGAUCCCCACUCACCUUUCCUCUUCAACCUUGCUGUGGAAUGCCUGACUAAAAUGAUUAAAAAUGCCUAG